This 188-nucleotide small RNA is filed under the name Jonesia denitrificans. Its description in RNAcentral is "c-di-AMP sequence". The stretch from base 24 to 188 matches the Rfam family "c-di-AMP riboswitch aptamer (ydaO/yuaA leader)". From Rfam's summary of the family: This family represents a conserved RNA structure found upstream of the ydaO and yuaA genes in Bacillus subtilis and related genes in other bacteria. The ydaO/yuaA element is thought to act as a genetic "off" switch for the ydaO and yuaA genes in its native state. The record is from RNAcentral. Lineage: Bacteria; Bacillati; Actinomycetota; Actinomycetes; Micrococcales; Jonesiaceae.
UCAUGCGGACCGCCUAGCCCUGUCACCGCGUGGAGCCUGGACAACCCGAGACAGGGGCGGGGGAACCACACAUUGGCUGGAAGCACAGCCUUGGGGUGAAGUGUGAAAGCUGUACACAACAGCUGGAGCGCCGAGUGACUCCAACUCGAACCCGACAGCUUACCUCGCUGGCAUAACUGGAGAGACGA